RNAcentral lists this long non-coding RNA (230 nucleotides) under Setaria italica (foxtail millet). RNAcentral's name for it is "long non-coding RNA (SITA_LNC001269)". Lineage: Eukaryota; Viridiplantae; Streptophyta; Magnoliopsida; Poales; Poaceae. The record is from RNAcentral.
GUGAACUUCUUCCUACAUCCGAAGACAAGUCAGAAAAUCAACACGUACAAAAAUUAGUACUCGGGGGUUCAGGCCACGGGUACUUACACUACUUGGCAAGUUGGCGACGCAGUACUCCCGCACGAUCGUUGGGAUCGCGCUCGCGUGCGUGAACAGGUGCCUCAAUCGUGCCAUGAUGUCAUCUACGGAGAGGUCAUCUAGUGACAUCCGGGAUGGAUCAUUGGGGCCCG